UACGUAGGUGGCAAGCGUUGUCCGGAAUUAUUGGGCGUAAAGAGCGUGUAGGCGGCCAGGUAGGUCUGCUGUGAAAACUCGAGGCUCAACCUCGAGCUGUCGGCGGAAACCAUCUGGCUAGAGUCCGGAAGAGGAGAAUGGAAUUCCCGGUGUAGCGGUGAAAUGCGCAGAUAUCGGGAAGAACACCCGUGGCGAAGGCGGUUCUCUGGGACGGUACUGACGCUGAGACGCGAAAGCGUGGGGAGCGAACAGG
This 253-nucleotide ribosomal RNA is filed under the name uncultured bacterium. RNAcentral's name for it is "partial 16S ribosomal RNA". It matches the Rfam family "Bacterial small subunit ribosomal RNA", at positions 524 to 776 of the family's 1533-position model. The record is from RNAcentral.